UACGUAGGGUGCGAGCGUUAAUCGGAAUUACUGGGCGUAAAGCGUGCGCAGGCGGUUAUGCAAGACAGAUGUGAAAUCCCCGGGCUCAACCUGGGAACUGCAUUUGUGACUGCAUAGCUGGAGUGCGGCAGAGGGGGAUGGAAUUCCGCGUGUAGCAGUGAGAUGCGUAGAUAUGCGGAGGAACACCGAUGGCGAAGGCAAUCCCCGGGGCCUGCACUGACGCUCAUGCACGAAAGCGUGGGGAGCAAACAGG
This 253-nucleotide ribosomal RNA is filed under the name uncultured bacterium. Its description in RNAcentral is "partial 16S ribosomal RNA". It matches the Rfam family "Bacterial small subunit ribosomal RNA", at positions 524 to 776 of the family's 1533-position model. The record is from RNAcentral.